Long non-coding RNA from Frieseomelitta varia, 964 nucleotides. RefSeq lists it as uncharacterized. The transcript is spliced from 5 exons. The record is from RefSeq and is a predicted model, not a curated record. Lineage: Eukaryota; Metazoa; Arthropoda; Insecta; Hymenoptera; Apidae.
ACUCGCAGUUAUCCCGUGGUUUUCGUUUGUUUGUCGCUGUUUGAAUUUCGAACACGCGUCUGUUCUGUUUGGUUCAGUGAGUUGGACACCAUGAGUUGAAUUUUUGGAAGAAAGUUUCCGAGGUGAGUUCCUUUUCAUUCCUCGCGACGAAGUCAUGGCCAUGUGACUUUUUGAGGAGCUUGGUGAGAGAAGUGAAAGAGAGUGAAAACGGCGACGCGACGGUUUCGGAGCAAGGUUCGUGGAUUGCUUGUGAGAUUCGCUUUCGUCAAGACGAUCUUCGUGAGAGAGGCUGUGCACCAAAGACAAACAGCCAUACACAAGAAUAACAUCUUUCACGUUCCGCUAAUCACAACACUCGGAGCGGGCUGUAGAAGUCGUAGAAGCGACGAUGGAAAAACAUAGCGCCGUCGUGGUUCGGACCAAUGGAAAAAUUAUAGCCACUGUCGGAUGGUUAAUGAAGUGGGCCCACGAGUACGGGAAUUAUUUUUGUUCAAAACAUACCAACCACUCUCAAUUCCACGAUGAACCACUAGGGAUGAAAAUAUAUACUUGUUCAUGCAAAAAUUCAUUCAACAAAUCUAGUAAACUGGAUAGGCACGUUUGACGGCAUAAUAAGAAGCUUUUCAAGGAACCGUGUUUUCAAAAAAUUGGGACGAAUGAACCAUCACAGAAGCGGCAAAAGCAGCAGUGAGGUCAGCUGAAAGCCAUGCUGCCAACUAGAAGAAACAGAAAAAGAAUACACACGACCAAAGCCGGUCACUCUCGCGGUUCACCCUCGUCCAGUCGCGUUUUGCAGGAUUAUUUUUAGGGGUUGUACAGGAUGUAAAAUACGCUUGCUAUACACAGAGAGAAUAAAUAUACACACACACACACACACAUACGUGUUUCUGAUGUAAAAACAAUUUUUUGGCAAGACUUUUUUAGCAGGAUAAAUGGUGCUCGUUGACACAACCCACUAAAAGCU